Molecule: long non-coding RNA, 13221 nt
Filed under: Triticum aestivum (bread wheat)
Lineage: Eukaryota; Viridiplantae; Streptophyta; Magnoliopsida; Poales; Poaceae
Description: long non-coding RNA (TAES_LNC016897)
Rfam family: MIR1120/MIR1122 microRNA precursor family (bases 1369-1503)
Source: RNAcentral
UCAAAUUCAUAGAAAAACUGCUAUUACUUCCUCGUAGAAGUACAAAUCAGUACUUAAAGCAUGACAUGCACCAAAAAGACAGCGAUAUCUGUACAAAUCAAGCCAGUAAAGCAUGUUAACCACUGAGCAGUGCUAGGCGUAUGAUAAAUUUUUGUACGAUGUUGUACGACUUUGCUCAGUCACCCUCCGAUCGAAUCUAUGCAUCAACAUCAAUCGUUGGAUCACUGGGUCGGACGUGACUCGUACAUUUGAAGUCGUACGCAGAGCAAUUUCGUUAACCACUGUGCUCGACGUAUCCUGAAGAUAUUCUUCCCUAGUUUGCUCUAUGUUAACCACUGCUAGAGGGGUAUCGUGAUGCAAUUCUUCCCUAGAUCGCUGUACUUAACCACUAUGCUAGAGGUAUCUUGAAGCAAUGCUUCCCUAAAUUCCUGUAUCUAGCAUCUCCAAGGGACAUCAUACGGUAUCAUACAGAACUUUAUGAGCAAAUACCAUGCACCGAAACAUCCCAUCACAAAGAAAUCCAUCCGAAACUCCAUCUAAGCUGGUGACACUGUCGUGUCUGGCUCACACCUAGUAGGAACACAGAGGUAGGGGAAAGAUGUAUUAGUAAAAGAGUAAUGCAACAGAGUAAGAAACUAUUAUGAGAACUGAUAUAUGCUGAGAAGAAGCAUAUACCAACAUCAACUUGAAACUUUUACAUAUAUUUACAAAAGAAAAAACUUAAAAUCAACAAUACCUCCUCCGUUACAAAAUAUUUGAAGUUCUAGUUUUGUCCUAAGUCAAACUUUAAGUUUGACCAAAUCUAUGGAAUAAUAUAUUAACGUCUAAAACAUCAAUCUAGUUGCAUUAGAUUCAUCAUAAAACAUAUUUACAUAAUAUAUAUUUGAUGUUGUAGAUAUUAGCAUAUUUCCCUAUAUACUCCCUCUGUAAACAAAUAUAAGAGCGUUUAGAUCACUAAAGUAGUUAUCUAAACGCUCUUAUAUUUUUCUUUAGGGAAUACAUGAUAUUUGAACAAGCUCGGCGCCAUGGUGCAGUCCAUGAUGCAACACACGGGUAUGGCUGCUGAAAGAUCCCCUACUGUUGAUGUGGUAGCUACAGCAGGAGCAUUCUGAAAUGCAAAAUCUCAGAAUCAUAUCAUGCCUUUGCCAUUCUACCAAAGCCAUAUCCUUGCUCAUCCAACUCUUAUCUUGAGGCAUGUCUCAAAUAUUGCAAAUUUCAAGACAAACAGAUCUACUCCAUCCGUCCAAUAAUAUAAGAGCGUUUUUUAGACUAGUGUGGUGUCAAAAACGCUCUUAUAUUAUGGGAUGGAGGGUGUAGCUUGUAAGAAUUCAAAAUAAAAAUAAACAUCAUGAAGUUAGAAAACCUUAAUAGGUACUCCCUCCGUCCGGAAAUACUUGUCACCAAAAUGAAUAAAAUGAGAUGUAUCUAGAUGUAUUUUAGUUCUAGAUACAUCCUAUUGUGUCCAUUUUGAUGACAAGUAUUUUCGGACGGAGGGAGUAGUAACGAACAUAAGUUUCCCUUUGUUUUCUUCAAAUUUGUUUUUUCAGUUAACUAUAUACUCCCUCCGUCCCAAAAUUCUUGUCUUAGAUUUGCCCAGAUACGGAUGUAUCUAAUACUAAAACGUGACUUGAUACAUCCGUAUUUAGACAAAUCUAAGACAAGAAUUUUGGUACGGAGGGAGUACUUAUUAUGUUCAGCACACACAAAAAUCCCACCAAAAAAGAAAUAAAUAAUCAUUGGGUUACUGACUACACAAACGAGCAGACAAAAGUUUUAUCAUGACUUGAAGCUAAAUCCACCACUUUGGACUAAAAAGUAAUAAUAAAUACUCCCUCUGUUCCGAAAAAUAGUCUUUUUAGAGAUUCCAAUACGAACUACAAACGGAUGUAUAUAGACAUAUUUUAGAAUGUAGAUUCACUCAUUUUGCUCCGUAUGUAGUCCUCAUUGUAAUCUCUAAAAAGACUUAUAUUUAGGAACGGAGGGAGUAUCAGAUUAUGUGGUAGUGUAGAAAAGGUACCAUUAUAGAAGUUGAACCCAAUUGGGGAAUAAGAAUGUUGAGAGGGACUCCAAGCUAACUUUGAAAUUAAGUCUGAAAGUUAUACAUAUGCAUAUCAGUUAACUCUGAAAGUUAUAUAUGGCAAGCAAACAAAACUGAACGACAUAAUAUACAACGACAUGUAAAAUUGUGAAUCAACCAGGUAGUGAGCAUAAUUACCCUUAUAAAACAAACUGAUGGUUGUGUGAGAUAGCCCCAUGAUUAAGAGUUCAAUGGGAUCAAUUGACUUAUAUUGUCUAUCAGGAAAACAGUAAGCAUGCUCCAAACAAUCAAUGAGAGCCUAGAUGAUGCACAACUCUAGCAGAUCCUUUUCUAUUAUCAAACCUCUGCCGCUGAAAAGGAGAUAACUAUUUCAACUGCUAAGAAGUGAGGACUGCGACAAAUUUGCAAACCAGGGAUAGAAAGUGCAUCUAAGCGCUGCUCAGAAGAGGCAUAUAAGCUUGAUCAGAAAUACUUGUAUGCAGAGUUGCAGACAUAACAUACUUAGUCGUCUUAUUGCAGACAGAAAAAUAAAGAACAACUACUUUUCUGCAGAUCAAAUUGCGACAUAAUACAUGCACCUUAUCGAUUUGUCCAAGAUGAGUUAAACAUAUCAUAUUAUGUGGUAGUGCGGAAAAGGUACCUUCAUAGAAGUUAAACCGAAUUGGGGGAUAAGAAUGUUCGCAGGGACUCCAGGAUACCUCUGAAAUUUAAGUCUGAAAGUUAUACAUGUAUAUGGAUCAGUUAACUUCGAAAGUUAUAUAUGGCAGGCAAACAAAACUGAACAAGAUAACCUACAACGACAUGUAAAAUUGUGAAUCAACCACUUAUAUUGAGCUAAACAUCUUAUUAAACAAACUGAUGGCUGUGUGAUAGUCCUACGAUUAAGAGUUCAAGGGUAUCAAUUAACUUAAUAUUUCCUAUCAGGAAAAAAGUGACCAUGCUCCAACAAUGAAUGAGAGCCUAGAUGAUGCACAACUCCAGCAAAUCCUUUGCUAGUAUCAAUCCUCUGUCGCUGAAAAGGAGAUUACUAUUUGAAUUGCUAAGAAGUGAGGACUGUAACAAAUUUGCAAACCAGGGAUAUAAAGUGCGUCUAAGCACUGCUCAGAAGAAACAUAUAAGCUUGAUCAGAAAUACUUGUAUGCAGAGUUGCAGACAUAACAUACUUGGUCGUCUUAUUGCAGACAGAAAAAUAAAGAACAACUACUUUUCUGCGGAUUAAAUUGCGACAUAAUGCAUGCACCUUAUCGAUUUGUCCAAGAUGAGUUAAACAUAUCAUAUUAUGUGGUAGUGCGGAAAAGGUACCUUCAUAGAAGUUGAACCGAAUUGGGGGAUAAGAAUGUUCGCAGGGACUCCAGGAUACCUCUGAAAUAUAAGUCUGAAAGUUAUACAUAUAUGUGUAUCAGUUAACUCCGAAAGUUAUAUAUGGCAGGCAAACAAAACUGAACAAGAUAACCUACAACAUGAUGUAAAAUUGUGAAUCAACCACAUAUAUUGAACAUAACAUCUUAUUAAACAAACUGAUGGCUGUGUGAUAGCCCUACGAUUAAGAAUUCAAGGGUAUCAAUUAACUUAAUAUUUCCUAUCAGGAAAAAAGUGACCAUGCUCCAAACAAAGAAUGAGAGCCUAGAUGAUGCACAACUCAGGCAAAUCCUUCUGGAAAGGAGAUUAGUACUCCAAUUGCUAAGAAGUGGGGACUGUAACCAUUUGGCAAACCAGGGAUGCAGAGUACGCCUAAAAACUGCUCAGCAGAGACAUAUAAGCUUCAUCAGAAAUACUUAUAUGUAUCAGUUGCAGACAUGGCAUACUUGGUUGUCUCAUUGCAGACAGAAAAAUAAAGAAUGGCAACUACUUUUCUGCAGAUCAAAUUGCGCCAUAAUACAUGACCUUAUCAAUUUGUCCAAGGCCGAGUUAAACCGGGAAAGGAGCUUCCCCAUACAAUAUCUACUGGUGGUUUAACAAAUUUAAUGUGUUCUUUCAGAACAAUUAAUUAUUAAAAUAACCACAUGCUACAUGGCAAACCAAAAGACAAACAUUGGCAAAUGAAUUACACUAGUUGGAAAGUAAAUCUAUUGGGUAUAUUUUCAUGAUUAGACUAAAAUAAGCUUUGUUGGUAGUGAUCACAUUAAUUGGAUUAAUCAGAGCAUAUGAAUCAAAACUAAAAUCCAUUGAUAAAGAAGACUACCCAAACUAAACCACUGUUUUAAUUAACAAAUAAGUAUAGCCAAACCGCCACUUACAAUCCCUAUCAAAUGUGGCAUAAGUAACAAUUAUUUUAAUUUACAAAUAAGUAUAGCCAAACCACCAUCAAUAAUCAAUAAAAUAAAACAGGUUCAAAAUUGUGCGCAAGUAAAUGGCUGUAGCAAUUGUGAGAUGUAACAUGAGAAGAUCUCAUAGGAAACUCCACUACAACAUCAUGUUAGUCAAUAUGUCACAUUCAGCUAAGCAUUUACAAUUUUACAUACAAGCAGAAACAGAAGAGAAGCAAACAACGUUUCCAGCCAAGCCAAAUUUUUGCCACAUAAAAAGCUGACACUAGGUGGCUAAGGCGCUUACAACAGCACCAAGGACAUAUGGGUGUGCAAUUUGCAUCUCGAAAUUACUACCCCAUUUCACCAUAGUGACUUUCAGUUGAACCACACCACAUUUGAGAAACAACGAUCAUAAUUUCUUAAGUCACUUUCAAAGGACCCUAAGUUGGAUUUUCCUAUGUUUGAUGGAACAAAUCCCUUAGGAUGGAUCAGGCAAUCUAAAAAUACUUUGAGAUGGCUAGUGUACCAGAGGAAUUCAAAGUUAUCCUACCCCAGAACCCAGAUAUCAUUACUGGUAGAGCAGAUAAGUGGUUAUGAGCAACUGGGUUAGUGGAAAAUGAUCCACCAUGGCCUGUCUUUUGUCAAGUUGUUUGCAACAGCUUUACAGAGACAAGCGUUUACAGUGUUCUGGGCAAGUUUAACUCUCUUGAGCAAUACACCACAGCUUAUACGGCAGGUUCGAAAAUUUAUGCCUCUGGUCAGGAGGGAAAACCUGGAUUGAGGGAGCAGUAUUUUGUAGUCCAUUUUGUGAAUGGACUCAAGGAUUAUUACUCACAUUUAGAGUCCCAUGAGGCCACAAACACUUAUGGAAGCUUAUUGGAAAGGAAGGGAGCUGGAAUAUGGUUCAACUCAACGAAAGGAAACAUAUACAGUCAAUGGAGAAGGAUAUCAGAAAAAGAAUAUUAAUCCAGUAACAUAUCUACAACCUUUGGCAGUGACUGCUGCCAGGCCUAAUUCAGAUAGUGGUAGAGAAAAGGUGGCUACUCGUAUUGCAAGGGAAAGUGGCCCGGGUAAGUGCUAGAACGGUGGAGAUAAAUAGGUGUUGGGGCAUAACUACAAGCAAUCAAGUGUUGAAUGUUAUGGUGACAAAGAUUGGUGAGUACUAUGCCUAUGCUGAAGAACAGCAUGCAUCCAGAAUUAGUUACCUUACUAGUUACUGUGUCACGAGCUUGGGAAAAUCUUUGAAGUGUUUUGGUUUUUCGAUUGGAACUCCCUCAGCCGCUUGAAUUUCUGCCUCCUUCAGUCCAAUCUUUAGGGACAGCCCAGCAAGAGCACGACCACAGCGGGUAAACUCCUUGCGCACUUCUGGCGAGUCGGUCUGUAGAAGCCAAUGGUAUACCUCCCCUCUCUGAUCUACUGUUUGGUUAAAUAAAUCAAUAAGCUCUCUGUUGUAAGCAUCCACCACUUCAUCACCUGUCCUGUGGAUCUUCUUAAAUUGGUACCUUAUUGCUUCCUGAAAUUACAUUCUUUUUCAAUUGGCAAAAGUCCAAUACACAAUGCACACAAAGGUACAUAAUAACAAACAACUAUAGCAGUUAAUAAACAGUAAUGUGGGCUUGAUAAAAUAUUAACAAAUGCAUAUCUUUUACCAACUUUGUGGAUGAUGGUAUAUAUUGUUAUGCUCCUAAAGGACAGAGAAAUAAUACUCUAGAGCCAUGACACAUCAGUACAGCAACAAAAAGAUAAUUGCUCCUAAACUGUUUUCCAUUUGGCUUUCAGCCGAAUUGCUGUCCAUAGUGCUUUGGCACGUGUCCAUUCGCUAAUUGCAUCUGUUUCCAAGCCAUAAAAUGUUCCGUUUGUUGGUGAUUUUCGUAACAAUGAGGUCCUACCCACAUACAAAAAACUCAAAAUCAAAAGUGGAAGGAAUGCGACUUCCUGUGGGGACUGAUACACGAUGUUUCUCAUGCCUAUUGAUGAAGAAUCUUGUUUUGUCGACGUGUAUUGCUUGACUUUUUUUAUGAGAAAGAGUCUAGAUAAUAAUUUUCUUGCUUUUGAGUGCAGGUUGUUUCACAGCAAAAGAAAAAUCUAACAGGAUGCUUGAAGAAAUAUACUUGCAUAACAAAAAUCCGUGGAGAGCAAGAAAAGAAGACGAAGACAGACUGAAUAGGACUUGAGAAUACUGAAGAGAGAUUUAAUAAGAACAAACAAGAAAAGCCAAAAUUAAGAAACUAAGAGACUUAAGAAAGAGAUACCGGAUAAGAGAAUGAGCAAACGAAGAAAUAAGACAUACAGUGUACUGGUUUAACUGAGAGGUUGAGGACCAGAGAAGACAACAAAAAUGAACAAGAGACUUGGGGAAUUAGAGAAACUGAAACUGAAGAAAUGUGAACCUAAAACGCUGAUGAAACUAAAGAAAUAAAUGAAAAUAAUGACAAUAAAUAAAUGAUAAAUUUCUAAUCACCAAGGAGGUGAAGCCCAAAUAAAGAAUUAUUGACGACAAGGGAUUGAACAUCUUGCUAGCUCACACUGGACAAAUACUGAAAAACAUAAUUGAAGACCCUCUGCACAAAAAUAAUGAACAACGAGUACAAGAAUAAGCUAGUAUAAAAGUGAAUGAUUCAACUAAAGAAAAAAAAAAGAGGUAAUGAACAACCUACUGACUCACAAUUAAUAGAUAAUGAACAAACAAACUACCAACUAGCUCUAAAACACUAAACUGAGUAAGUUGAAAGGCCAUGAUAACUGAGGUCGAUAACAAACACAUCACCCAUGUCAUCUGCUGCUAGCUGUUUUUUCAAUGAAAGAAACCAAACAAGCUCUGGAUAGAACACUGGAACUGAGAGCAUUUCUAACCGAUCCCCAAUAUCCCUAUAAGGGAGGAUAAACUCUGUUUUACUCCUUAUGCCACACCUAACCGAUCCCUUAUCCAGUCUAAGGGAGGAUAAAUUUUACUCUGAACCGCAUCGUUUCCCUAAAUAUACUCCGUCGCUGCGGGCUGGAGGAAAAAUUUCUGCCUCUGCCUCUGCCUCUGCCCGCCCCCUCCCUCCCCCCUAAAUAUACUUCACUAAGGUUUACAUGUGGUGCUCAAAAACAGAAACACAAGGGAGGGGCUGCCUGGCCCCUACCGAUCCAAUACCCAUCCCCCUCACUCAAAAAUCUAUCUGAUUCUUAUCCCCCAUGCUUAUCACCUUAUGUUCACGCAACAUCAAACAACACUAACUGACUGCAGGCACCUACUGAGGCAAAAAUUUAUAGCACGGAUUUUUCAGCAUUGGGUACGCCCCCUUGCUAGCACCGCGAGAAUAAGACAAAGCUAACAGGAAGAUUGCUGCUCCUGGAUCGUUCGACAAUGAAGCAAAACAGUGAGGGCCAUGCGCCGGGGGAUCUAGGGGGAGGGGGCUUACGAUUGGAGGAACCAUAGCUGGCAGGGUGGUGACCUUCCCCAUCUCCUUGCGGUUGCGGUUUCCCCGCAUCCAGUCGCUGAGGUGGAUUUCGGGGAGAAGUACAUUUCUCUGCAAUUAAAGAACACUCAGCGCAAACUGCAACAUCUGGCGGAUUCAUGGUGGAAAGGGAGCGUAGGGUGGGACUAACGGCAGGGGCAGCGACGGGCGGCUGCUGCGCGCCCCGCGCCUCAAUCACAGCUCGCCUCGCAGCCCGGCGGCCGACGUGGUCCGCCUCCGCCGCACCAGCAACCACCGGCUGCUGCUGCUGCUGCCGCGCCUCCCUCGCAGCCCGUGCGGCGGCCCGGCGUCCGAGACGCUCCAUGGUGCGGUCUCCAGCGCUGCGUGAGAAGGGUAGGGGAUUGCGAGCGGAGGCGGGUGGGGCGGAUUUCUAGGGUUUCCGAGCGGAAGCGGGUGGGCGGAUUUUGAUUUUUGAGGGAAUGGAGGGGAUUGCGUCCGGAACUCGGAUGCGGCGGUUGUUUUCAAGUGUGGCUCUUUCUACAGGUUCAAUUACACUCCGUAUUUGUACUCGAGAGACUAGUUUGGCUUUUUCACUGAAGAAAUGAUUUCUUGGCUAUGGAAAAUCAUAAAAUUCAGACAAUAUUUCUCAGUUGGGGAAAUAAAAUCUUUUCACUAGGCGAAAGCUAGAGACAAUCACGUCUCAUGGUGUUCCUGCCAUCACCGCGCCGCGUCGUGCCUCUCAAUGUUGUAGUGUAAUUCCAGCCCUCUCUCAUAGUUCGGAUUUUUUUAAAAACUGGUCAUAGUGUGUAUGAAUUCAAUGAUAUCUGAGCCAAAAGAUCUUGAGUUCAAAAUCCUACCAACGCAGCAGUAUUAAAAAAAAUCGACAUGAGAGGAAGUGCCUCUCUUCAUCAGUUCGGACUCAUGGAAAAUAGCAUAGACAUGAGGGGAAGUUAACUGGCUAGGUCUUAGGUGCAUACAGCUUGCAACCAAGAGUUUCAGGGUUCAAAACUCAGUAAAUCCGAUAAAUAUUAUGGCAUGNNNNNNNNNNNNNNNNNNNNNNNNNNNNNNNNNNNNNNNNNNNNNNNNNNNNNNNNNNNNNNNNNNNNNNNNNNNNNNNNNNNNNNNNNNNNNNNNNNNNNNNNNNNNNNNNNNNNNNNNNNNNNNNNNNNNNNNNNNNNNNNNNNNNNNNNNNNNNNNNNNNNNNNNNNNNNNNNNNNNNNNNNNNNNNNNNNNNNNNNNNNNNNNNNNNNNNNNNNNNNNNNNNNNNNNNNNNNNNNNNNNNNNNNNNNNNNNNNNNNNNNNNNNNNNNNNNNNNNNNNNNNNNNNNNNNNNNNNNNAAAGCUACGUGUAUCAGUAUCGGGCCUGGGGUCAUGAGAGGAAGGAGAGGAGGAAGUGAGGAUCAUGAGAGGAAGGAAGGAGGAAGUGAGAGUAGUUGCAGUUGUCGGCUGAACGGCUCAGUACAAAUACCUUGGGACGUUGUGCCGACCUCAACUGUCGAGCUGCCAUCAGGGAUCAAGAUCUACGAGUUGGCUGGGCUGUUGGGUGAGAGGGGGAGGCGGACUAAGCGACGAGGACGGCUGGGAGUCACUAAGGAAGGAGAAGGAGCUCGUCGGCUUGCCGCCGGCCCUGCCACCACCUACUGUGGAGCUUAGGGUUGUGUUGUACUCCCUCCGUCCCAAAAUAAGUUUCUCAAGUUUAGUAUACUAAACUUGAGACAUUUUAUUUUGGGACGGAGGGAUUACCUCUUAAGGCUUUGUUCGUUUAAUCCCCGCCCCCGCCGGGAUCGGUGGGGUUUUGGCCUAAUCCACGUGCUUUUGACCCCGGUCGGGGUAGGAUCCCGACCUACCUUAUAUGCGUCUUCGGUUAAACCCGGCCGGGUUGAUAUCCCAUCCAAAUCCACCCCAAACCACAGGGAUUCCACUGAGUUUUCACCCACGUCUCCCCACCCGUGGAACAAAACCAGUCGUCUCAGUCUUCUCGGCUCGAAAGAAAAAGGAGGAGCGGGCGAGAGCGGCGGCGGCGCCGACGCCGACAGGGAAGAACUAGGCGACGGCGAGGGGCCGGAGCGGGCGAUCUCUCUCCUCCACUGAAGACCGGCUGCUGCGCCAUCCUUCUACCUCGCCCCACUCUCCCCAAGUCAGCAGCCGAUCUGCGACCCUCUUCUUCCAUCCCCGGCGCGAGCUCGGCGGCUGCACCAACCUACUCCGGUGGCCCUCCCCAACGUUUCUAUGCCGGUAAGAUCUUCUCCCCCACCCUUGUUUCCUUCCUCUCCCCCCUUUUGAUUUCUAGGGUUUCCCGUCCCCUUUUCCACCGGUGACAAGGGCCGUCUUGCCGGCGAGGCUCCACCUCUCCUCUCUGCUUACUACAGCUUCCCAGUACCCUCCUCUGUACUUGCUCUACCUGUGAUUUGGUGCAAAUGGUGUACCUAGUUGAGUCUAACCAAAUCUGCUACAUAGUCGAAUCUUUUUGUCAAUGUCAUUAGCAGUGCACAUAUAUGCUACUAGUAAUCUAGUAUUUAUUUGUCCCUGAGAUUCAGUACUAUAUUUGCAGCUACCUGUAGAGAAUCAACAAGAUGCAAUUGUAGCUAUAUAGUUUUGUCAAUGAUAUCCUUGGGAGGUGAGAAAAGUUGAGUUUUAUGUAACUGAGGUGAACAUCAACUACAUGAAUUUUUUCUGAUAGUGGGGGUGAAGAGAAAUUUAGGUAAAAUGCUCUGAGAUCAAGGCAUCUUGAAGCCAUGCAACUACGACAGUGCAUUUUACUAAUUUAGAUGCAGAAAGUUUUACUUGUCAGAACAUAUAGAAUAUAUUGGGAUGUGUAGACAUAAAAUGUUUUUGUAAUAAGAGAAAAAAAAAUAUUGCCUCCAUUAGAACGAUAACUGUUUCAUACCACUUUAUGUUGCUUGACCUGACUUGUAUGUGCUACAUUAGAACGAUAACUGUUUCAUACUACUUUCACCGCCUCACAGCCGCAGCAAGACCCCGCUUGGGGCAGCAUCGUGAAGACUAAGGUAUAUUAAUCUUGAUGUACAUACUUGGUUUUCUUUGUACCCUACUGGCACUCGCAUCUUCAUCUAGCUCACAUGAACCUCCCUUGUUCAUCUAGUAACCUGAAGCUGAUGGCUCAAGUAGCCCACAUGAACCUCCCUUGUUCUCUUAUUUCCUUGCAAGAUCAUCUAGAAUAUGCAAGAAUCCCCCUUGUAGCUAUUUUCAUGCAUACUGGUCUUGAACACCCAGAAUAUGUGUAGUGUGUGCAUCCAUUGGUAUCCGCCAGAUUUCAUAACUUUUUAUCUGAAAUUUGAUUUCCCUAGAAUGCACCAUGAUAAAUGCUUAUGAGAUGAGAAUCCAUUCAUGUACAUCAUCUUAUGUUGUCCUUUUUUAUGUACUUAUCUUGUCCUUUCUUUGUCCUGUUUUCCCCUGAUUAUGACUGUAAUGGAAGCUCUUAUUUAUACAGUGCAUAUUGGAACUGAAUUGAUCUAUCUCCGCAUUUCAUUUAAUUUUGCUCUGCCCUCCUUUUGCAAGUAUUAUUUUGUACCAAAGAAAGAAAUCUUUUUUUUUGCGGGGAAAGAAAGAAAGAAAUCUUUGUUCAUAAACUUGUGAUUUUGGUACUGUUCUCUGAAAGUAGACCAUAGUUUUUUGUGGUCAUACGAAUUUAGUGUAUUCUUACACGAUUUAUAACGCUGUAUCAUUGAUAUAUAUGCCUGGUUGUUCAUUUCUAAUAUUAUUAUUCUCUGCUGCUAUUUGCAGCUUUCCAUUGGAAGAUCAUUUGUUUAGUGGAUAUGGAUGCGAUGUUGCUGCCCAUUUGAUCCGUGAAAUUUUGAAAUCAAUGCACGAUUAUUUUAUGAUCUUUCUUUGCUAGCUGGUCAUCAAUGCUUUGAUAUCAGUCCUUUGAUGUGGACUGACCGCCCUUUUUUGCCAAUGCAGUGCAUCAAUCACUACGGAAGCGACAUCGGCGAGAUUAGAGUCGUCUGUUCUAUACAGCAAUAAUUUGAUCAUGGUCGGAAAUAUAAUAAUAUUGUACAUCGGUGAUUGUUGAUUAGGGUCAUUUUUUGACUUCUAAAUAUUCAGAAUUCAUGUUAUAGUUUGAUAUUUUUUCUUCUAAAAUAUCAACUUGCAGCAAGCUUCUCAUAUAAUGUUUUGUUCUGACGCAACAAAAAUACUGUUAUGCGGAUUUGGUGCUUGGAUGUAUGAAAUUUAUAGCAAGUUUGUUGUGUGUGUGAUGUUCUUUUGAUUUGGUGCAAAGAACAACGAUAGGAGGUUUAGUUGAUUUGGUGCUGAAGUGUACAAAGGCCAUUGAUGGGAGGUUGCCGGGGACUAACUGAACACGUAUUGUUGUACAGGGAUUAGCAGGGUUUGUUGGUUAGGGGAUUGGGUGACGAGGUGGGGAUCACCAAAUCCCUGUGUGGGUCUAAUCCCCUAGAGGUUUGGUUCCAGUGGAACCGAACAAAGCCUAAUAGGGCUGGGCCGUACCCAAAAUGCACCGGCCAAGUAUCCAUAAGUAUUGACAUUGUUUAAAAUUGUUUAUACCCUGAUACUCGGGUCUUAGGGUAUACGUAUCCCGAACAUAUCAAAGCAUUUUCCGUAUCCGAUACGAUACGCUGGUUCAAUGAAGCAUUUUGUGCAUUUUGACCUGUCAGCAUCCGUGCAUUCUAGUGUUACUAUAUCUACUAUUGGGAGUUCCUGGACUAGAGCAAACAGCACGUGUUGCAUAUCCUUGAAUAGUUCUAGCUUCACAGCUUCAGGGAAUUAAUCGUGUCUAAUUGGGCAUAUAGCUUUAACGUGUGGGCAAGUGUGGAGAUGGUGUUCUUUACAUUCAUAUGCAUAGAGCUAGCAACUCCGUCCCAAACUCGAUUUGUAUCACAAACCAAACGGCAAAUGAAACCAAAAAUCAAUCUCCAUGUCCAGUCCCCUAAAAGGAACUCCCAUCCCUAAACUACAAUUCCCUAUCCUAAGGUUGCCAAACACGUUGUGAGGGUGGGCUUUGUGUGCCCAUGAUCGCGGUAAGAGUUACACAAAUCACCAAAGUAGUGGGACUCUGUGGCACUAAACAAAUUUUUCAUUGGGAAACUUAAGGAACAAUUAAGACGUUAAACAGAAUCAAAUUCCUGCGUACCAAAAUUCACAUGCUAAAAAUAAAGGUAUUUCCUGCAACUUACCAUUUUUUUGUCGGAGAGAUGAUACCGUAAGACAGCAACGAAAAAGAUUGGUCCGGACCGUAAGAUCUUCACAGAAAUUUCAUAAGAACAGUGUUAUGAAACUUCUAUGAAUUCAUUACGAUUCAGUCGAUCUGAAAUCUUCUUGACGGACUAUCCAGAUCUGAAACAUGGGCUUCUUCCGCCGGAGAAACGAGCUUGGCAUAGCAUAUAGCAGGAUCGUCGAACGAGCUUCCAGCUUUGACAUGGCUCGCGAAGCUUUCCCCUCUAUCUCACUCUCUGGAUGGGGAACGGGGAAACGGUGAGGGCUGGGAAUGAGGAUCCAAUAUUAGGUGGAGACAGCAUAGCCUCACACAUAGACCCGUAAAGGACGCCAGCUCUGAC